This is a long non-coding RNA of Bombus huntii, 1512 nucleotides long. RefSeq lists it as uncharacterized. NCBI's taxonomy places the organism in Eukaryota, Metazoa, Arthropoda, Insecta, Hymenoptera, Apidae. The record is from RefSeq and is a predicted model, not a curated record. The transcript has 3 exons.
GUGAAGCGCCGCAGCAGCCGCGGCGGCGGCGGCUGCUGCGGGAGGUGCCAUUGCAUAGGCAGGAAUCUGAUGCUGCGGAUUCGGUCCCGGUAGAGCGAGCGUCUUAGUCGUAGCUGACGAAGUUGGGGAAGCAGGAGUGGUGGAGGCCACGAAAAAAUUUUGCUAUGUCCUGGUCCGAUGAUUGCCAAGGAAGACCUCUAGCUCUUACUACACAGCCAUUGUCAACUUCUUCAUCUUUUGAGCUACGGAAGGACAUCGUAAGAUCGGUAACAUACAUUUCACUGAUGAGAAGAAAAAGGAUUUUGGAAGACGUGACCUGUAAUAAAAGUAAUAUAAUGAAAACCAUGAAAAUGCACAUAUACAUUGAAGUGAAUGAUCGAAGGCAUUUUGAUAACACUCCAAACAACAAAAAAGGAAUAAAACAAUGAUUAACCUUAGAAAUCAAUGACGCUUAUGCAUCGAUUAUAACCAUGAUUCGCAUUGAUCCAAAAUACGAUUAUAACAUUCGACAUACGAGGAUUUAAAUUCGUUAAAAUUUAUCCAAUAUAUUCGUUUGACUUAAAAGAUAGAUCAUCGAUAAAUUUUAAUAUGCGUAAGAGAAGUUUUUAUUGGGCAUGUAUGAUUAAAACCGGAAAAAUGAAUUCUCCCGCGAAAAAUGUAACUAUCGUUCCGGUGUCACCAACUGCCUACCAUCUGCGUUUUCUUUGUAAUCCUACACCGACAAGUUUGUCUCCGAUUUCUCAAGCUUGAGCAAAAUGCUCAUUUUCGAUUUGCCUACUCGGUGCAACGUGUCAGCAGUCUUUCGAAGUCUUUUCAUAUCUCAUGAAUCGAAACUUUUCUUCCAUCGUAAUUCGUACCCCUCCAUAAAAUAUUUCUUCAAACCGGAAGUACAAUACAACGAAGAGAGAAAGAAAAUUUUCUUCGCGAUCCGAUGUUUACGGAUGACACAAUACAGAAUUCCACGAAAGGUACAACAAGCGUCAAACAUUUGCAAAAUAAAUGCGUGCGAUCGUGCCUUGAAACAACUAAUAGGCAGCCGUUGCUUAUUACACACGCACGCACUUGUCACAGUGGCACGUGACAUGUACUUACAAGAUUGAAAAUUAAAGUCAGUUUGAGUUGAGCACCAUUGUGAUAAGGAGUAUAUUAUGACCGUCACUGCUUAUAGCAUUACACAGCUUGACCCGCGCACUCGUAAACCGUGAACACACAUAAGGGUCCAAAUGUAUGGAUUUGAACGUAUACGCUACUCUGUCGCCCGGUUCGUGCUAUCUUUUUAUUCUCUCUUUCUGUCCGUUUCACGUUUGCUCUUACUGGCAUUUCUUCGUUUGCGUACAACGCAACCGAAGCUAUGUAAGUAAAAUUUGAAACGAAACGAUUUCGAAUAAUAUUAUGCAGUGACCGCCAUAUCUACAGUAUGAAUAUACAAAAAAUGCAACUUUCAUACAGCUUUCAUUUCACUUAUACAAUGUGAACUGUUUAUAAAAGUUAUUAAAUACGUUUGUUUUUCGA